UGUGGCUGGAUCACCUCCUUUUAGGGAGACCUACCCGCUCUAUAAUUGAAAGCACUCAGCAAAUAAAUCAAGAGUUGGUCAUCCCAAGGUCGUUCGGAGUAUGAGUGUCUGAGCUUUCAAACUAUUUUGGUUCGGUUUCAUGGGCUAUUAGCUCAGGUGGUUAGAGCGCACCCCUGAUAAGGGUGAGGUCCCUGGUUCGAGUCCAGGAUGGCCCACCUUAGCAAGGGAUUUUGGAUUGAGUCCAUCCAUCUAAGAUCCAGAAUUGCAUGGGGGUUUAGCUCAGUUGGUAGAGCGCCUGCUUUGCAAGCAGGAUGUCAGCGGUUCGAGUCCGCUAACCUCCACUGGGCGGAUUGCCCAACCCGAAGCAAGAUUCAAAUUGAGAGAUAAAUUCAGCAACUGGUCUGGAGAGUUCAGUAAGAACUCUUGAGGAAGCCUGCUGGGUUUUAUCCAGCCAGAACCUAGAAAACUGCAUAGCGAAAAAAUUGUCAGGUAGUAAAAUAUCAGACACCAAUGUUGUAGUGGUCAAGCUACAAAGGGCUGAUGGUGGAUACCUAGGCACACAGA
RNAcentral lists this transfer RNA (564 nucleotides) under Leptolyngbya sp. 'VRUC184/Albertano et Bruno 1994'. RNAcentral describes it as "partial miscellaneous RNA". The stretch from base 269 to 341 matches the Rfam family "tRNA". Lineage: Bacteria; Bacillati; Cyanobacteriota; Cyanophyceae; Leptolyngbyales; Leptolyngbyaceae. The record is from RNAcentral.